RNAcentral lists this ribosomal RNA (440 nucleotides) under uncultured bacterium. Its description in RNAcentral is "partial 16S ribosomal RNA". It matches the Rfam family "Bacterial small subunit ribosomal RNA", at positions 338 to 795 of the family's 1533-position model. The record is from RNAcentral.
CCUACGGGAGGCAGCAGUGGGGGAUAUUGCACAAUGGGGGGAACCCUGAUGCAGCGACGCCGCGUGGGUGAAGAAGCGCCUCGGCGCGUAAAGCCCUGUCAGCAGGGAAGAAAAUGACGGUACCUGAAGAAGAAGCCCCGGCUAACUACGUGACAGCAGCCGCGGUAAUACGUAGGGGGCAAGCGUUAGCCGGAUUUACUGGGUGUAAAGGGGGCGCAGACGGGGAUGCAAGCCAGGAGUGAAAGCCCUGGGGCCAACCCCGGGACUGCUCGUGGAACUGCGUGGCUGGAGUGCAGGAGGGGCAGGCGGAAUUCCUGGUGUAGCGGUGAAAUGCGUAGAUAUCAGGAGGAACACCGGUGGCGAAGGCGGCCUGCUGGACUGCAACUGACGUUGAGGCCCGAAAGCGUGGGGAGCAAACAGGAUUAGAUACCCUAGUAGUC